CUUGGUACAUUUUCCUGAAUAUCAAGUGGUGCUCUCAUUAAGGGGUGAAAUUUUACUGUAAAAAUUGUGGACAGGAAGGGCAUAGGAGCAACUACUGUCCAGAAAUUCGAGACAAUACAGAUAGACGUUAUAGAUGUCGAUUAUGUGGAGCAAAGGGUCA
Nicotiana tabacum (common tobacco) is the source of this 160-nucleotide non-coding RNA. Lineage: Eukaryota; Viridiplantae; Streptophyta; Magnoliopsida; Solanales; Solanaceae. The record is from RefSeq and is a predicted model, not a curated record.